Molecule: ribosomal RNA, 439 nt
Filed under: uncultured bacterium
Lineage: Bacteria
Description: partial 16S ribosomal RNA
Rfam family: Bacterial small subunit ribosomal RNA
Source: RNAcentral
CCUACGGGUGGCUGCAGUGGGGAAUAUUGCACAAUGGGCGAAAGCCUGAUGCAGCAACGCCGCGUGAGCGAUGAAGUCCUUCGGGUCGUAAAGCCCUGUCCUCAAGGAAGAUAAUGACGGUACCUGAGGAGGAAGCCCCGGCUACCUACGUUCCAGCAGCCGCGGUAAUACGUAGGGGGCUAGCGUUAUCCGGAUUUACUGGGCGUAAGGGGUGCGUAGGCGGGUUCUUAAGUCAGAGGUGAAAGGCUACGGCUAAACCGUAGUAAGCCUUUGAAACUGGGGAACUGGAGUGCAGGAGAGGAGAGUGGAAUUCCUAGGGUAGCGGUGAAAUGCGUAGAUAUUAGGAGGAACACCAGUUGCGAAGGCGGCUCUCUGGACUGUAACUGACACUGAGGCACGAAAGCGUGGGGAGCAAACAGGAUUAGAUACCCGAGUAGUC